This 1384-nucleotide ribosomal RNA is filed under the name metagenome. Its description in RNAcentral is "bacterial LSU rRNA". It matches the Rfam family "Bacterial large subunit ribosomal RNA", at positions 508 to 1977 of the family's 2925-position model. The record is from RNAcentral.
GGAAAGGUGAAAAGCACCCCGGGAGGGGAGUGAAAGAGAACCUGAAACCCUGUGCUUACAAGCACUUAGAGCACGUCAAAGUGUGAUAAGGUACCUAUUGUAGAAUGGUCCGGCGAGUUAUUGUAUGCAGCGAGGUUAAGUAGUUCAGCUACGGAGCCGAAGUGAGAGCGAGUGUUAACAGCACGUUCAGUUGCAUGCAAUAGACCCGAAACCGGGUGACCUAUCCAUGUCCAGGAUGAAGUGAGGGUAAAACCUCAUGGAGGUCCGAACCCACUCCCGUUGAAAUGGUAGGGGAUGAGGUGUGGAUAGCGGAGAAAUUCCAAUCGAACCCGGAUAUAGCUGGUUCUCCCCGAAAUAGUUUUAGGACUAGCCUCGUGAUCAAGAUUAUCGGAGGUAAAGCACUGAAUGGCCUAGGGGUCGAGAGAUUACCGAAGCCUAUCAAACUCUGAAUGCCGAAUAAUCAUGCACGGGAGUCAGACUGUGUGAGAUAAGUUUCAUAGUCGAAAGGGAAACAGCCCAGACCUACAGCUAAGGUCCCAAAGUACGUUUAAGUGGAAAACGAUGUGAAAUUGCGUAGACAACCAGGAUGUUGGCUUAGAAGCAGCCAUACAUUAAAAGAGUGCGUAAUAGCUCACUGGUCGAGUGACUUUGCGCGGAAAAUUUAACGGGGCUAAAACGUACACCGAAGCUUAGGCUUGCAACUAUGUUGCAGGGGUAGGGGAGCGUUGAAUGAGGGGUGAAGUCGUAGCGAAAGCGACGGUGGACUUCAUUCAAGUGAGAAUGCCGGAAUGAGUAGCGAGAAUUAUGUGAGAAUCAUAAUGGCCGAAAGACUAAGGUUUUAGAAGGAAGGUUCGUCCGCUUCUAGUUAGCCGGGAGCUAAGGCGAGGCCGAGAGGCGUAGUCGAUGCACAUACGGUUGAGAUUCCGUAGCUACCUUGCAUUUAAGCGAAGGGACACAUUUGAAGGGCAUGACCCGGGCGUUGGUUGACCCGGGCGUAAGGGACCGAAAAUAAGUAGGGAAGCAUGCUUGGAUGGUGGCGAGAAAAGCUUCGUGUAUAUAAGCAGGGUACCCGUACUGCAAACCGACACAGGUAGUCAGGAAGAGGAUUCUAAGGCCAUCGGGAGAAGCGUUGUUAAGGAACUCGGCAAAUUGACCCCGUAACUUCGGAAUAAGGGGUGCUCACGCGAGUGAGCCGCAGUGAAUAGGUCCAGGCAACUGUUUAUCAAAAACACAGCUCUCUGCUAAAUCGUAAGAUGACGUAUAGGGGGUGACACCUGCCCGGUGCUGGAAGGUUAAGAGGAGGGGUGCAAGCUCCGAAUUGAAGCCCCAGUAAACGGCGGCCGUAACUAUAACGGUCCUAAGGUAGCGAAAUUCCUUGUCGGGU